This 427-nucleotide long non-coding RNA is filed under the name Jatropha curcas. Its description in RNAcentral is "long non-coding RNA (JCUR_LNC000445)". Lineage: Eukaryota; Viridiplantae; Streptophyta; Magnoliopsida; Malpighiales; Euphorbiaceae. The record is from RNAcentral.
AAAUUUAUUGAAGGAGUCAGAGCUAGAUUUGGAACAGAAGAUGCUGAAAAAUAGGGGAGAAAUCAGAACAGCAAAUAUUUUUUGUUUACUGCUUUUGAAUUUCCCAAUUGAUUAGGGAUUCUUUUUCCUUUUGGAGGUGUUAUAUAUGGAGUGAUUCUACAGCAGCUAGGAGGCACGUUUUUCUUCUCUUAGUUCAUCUAUUAAUCUAGGUUUUUGUUCUUUAGUCUUUGUUUUGGUGAUUGGAAGCCAUGAUUAUGAGUAGCUAAUUUUGUUACACCAAUUCAAAGGAUUUAUCAUCCUUGCACUUUUGUGAGACUCGGGUUUUAAAUGAGUAGUUUCUUCUUGAAUAUCUGUUGUUUCUUGUUCUUAUUGAGUUGAUUCUAUUGAAUUCUUUACUAAAAAGGCCUAUUAGUGAAUUGUUUGGUAG